UGGGGAAUUUUGGACAAUGGGCGCAAGCCUGAUCCAGCAAUGCCGCGUGCAGGAUGAAGGCCUUCGGGUUGUAAACUGCUUUUGUACGGAACGAAAAGCCUCUCUCUAAUACAGGGGGGUGAUGACGGUACCGUAAGAAUAAGCACCGGCUAACUACGUGCCAGCAGCCGCGGUAAUACGUAGGGUGCAAGCGUUAAUCGGAAUUACUGGGCGUAAAGCGUGCGCAGGCGGUUUUGUAAGACAGUGGUGAAAUCCCCGGGCUCAACCUGGGAACUGCCAUUGUGACUGCAAGGCUGGAGUGCGGCAGAGGGGGAUGGAAUUCCGCGUGUAGCAGUGAAAUGCGUAGAUAUGCGGAGGAACACCGAUGGCGAAGGCAAUCCCCUGGGCCUGCACUGACGCUCAUGCACGAAAGCGUGGGGAGCAAACAGGAUUAGAUACCCUGGUAGUCCACGCCCUAAACGAUGUCAACUGGUUGUUGGGGAUUUAUUUCUUCAGUAACGAAGCUAACGCGUGAAGUUGACCGCCUGGGGGAGUACGGCCGCAAGGUUAAAACUU
RNAcentral lists this ribosomal RNA (555 nucleotides) under uncultured bacterium. RNAcentral describes it as "partial 16S ribosomal RNA". It matches the Rfam family "Bacterial small subunit ribosomal RNA", at positions 355 to 902 of the family's 1533-position model. The record is from RNAcentral.